GUCCAUGACCAUAUCACUAGGAAUGCACCUGAUCUCAUCUGGUCUUGGGAGCUAAGCAGGGUCAGGCCUAGUUAGUACUUGGAUAAGGUGACCAGAUGUCCUGCUUU
Otolemur garnettii (small-eared galago) is the source of this 107-nucleotide ribosomal RNA. The record is from Ensembl. NCBI's taxonomy places the organism in Eukaryota, Metazoa, Chordata, Mammalia, Primates, Galagidae.